This 842-nucleotide long non-coding RNA is filed under the name Sorghum bicolor (sorghum). Its description in RNAcentral is "long non-coding RNA (SBIC_LNC015232)". The record is from RNAcentral. Lineage: Eukaryota; Viridiplantae; Streptophyta; Magnoliopsida; Poales; Poaceae.
GUGCCAGCUGGUGGUCAUAUAGUAUAGGCAUAAGAGGCAAUGGGAAAUCAGUUCUUACUUGUGCCAAUAGCAUAUGCACGAAUGUGCCAAUUAUGAGUCUUCUGUGAUGUCCUUUAAGAAAUUGGCAGCUCUUAUCUGAGGUUGUUAUCAUAGCCUUCCUUAUUUGUCGAUUAUUUAGCCAUCAAUUUGCUGGGGGCUUUCCUUGAACCCAACAACUGUAGUCCUGCUCCAAGUUUAUAUAUUGCACUGAGUCCAAGUUUAUUGCAUUGAACGUUGUUCGCUUCCAAAUUAAAGUGCCAUCACGAGUAUCAGCACUGACUCCUUUAAUUAUAUAUGCUAGCUGUCUUUCAGGACAUAAAAGGAACAUGCAAACGCCAACUUGGGCAAGACAUCUAUACCAAGCACUCGCACGCACAUCUGGAGAAGCUUUCUCAUCGCAGCGGCCAUCUAUAUAUCGUAGAGUCCGGAAAGUGUUUUUGCGUCACAUUUAGUUGGAGUCGGCAGCACAGUACGCAGCAGAUCAAGGAAGCUUAUGCGCGCGUAGCCAAAUUGAUUGUUCAGUUUUUUUGUUGAGCUGCUGUCACAGCAUCAAGGAGUAAAGCAAACAUGACAUAGAUAUCAUGCAGAGCUAUUCUUUUGAAUUCAUUUCUCCGAAUAUAAUUUUGAAUAUUUGGGUCUCUAGAUGAACUGGAAAGUUUUGGAUAACAUCAAGUACUACAACUUUGUUGUAUACACCAUAUCCUCAUGGAUCUGAGGUCAUUUAAAGAACUCGAAAUAUUAUAUUUAAAAAUCUGAGAGGUAAAAAUGAAUGAAUAUCGAUCCUGGUCCCUAAACAAUCCCAG